AUACGGAGGGUGCAAGCGUUGUUCGGAAUUACUGGGCGUAAAGCGCGCGUAGGCGGUUUGUUAUGUCAGAUGUGUAAGUCCACGGCUCAACCGUGGAAAUGCAUUUGAAACUGGCAAACUUGAGUACUGGAGGGGGUGGUGGAAUUCCCGGUGUAGAGGUGAAAUUCGUAGAUAUCGGGAGGAAUACCGGUGGCGAAGGCGACCACCUGGCCAGAUACUGACGCUGAGGUGCGAAAGCGUGGGGAGCAAACAGGAUUAGAAACCCCAGUAGUCC
Molecule: ribosomal RNA, 274 nt
Filed under: uncultured bacterium
Lineage: Bacteria
Description: partial 16S ribosomal RNA
Rfam family: Bacterial small subunit ribosomal RNA
Source: RNAcentral